RNAcentral lists this ribosomal RNA (497 nucleotides) under uncultured bacterium. RNAcentral's name for it is "partial 16S ribosomal RNA". It matches the Rfam family "Bacterial small subunit ribosomal RNA", at positions 28 to 507 of the family's 1533-position model. The record is from RNAcentral.
GAUGAACGCUGGCGGCGUGCCUAAUACAUGCAAGUCGAGCGAACAGAUGAGGAGCUUGCUCCUCUGACGUUAGCGGCGGACGGGUGAGUAACACGUGGAUAACCUACCUAUAAGACUGGGAUAACUUCGGGAAACCGGAGCUAAUACCGGAUAAUAUAUUGAACCGCAUGGUUCAAUAGUGAAAGACGGUUUUGCUGUCACUUAUAGAUGGAUCCGCGCCGCAUUAGCUAGUUGGUAAGGUAACGGCUUACCAAGGCGACGAUGCGUAGCCGACCUGAGAGGGUGAUCGGCCACACUGGAACGGAGACACGGUCCAGACUCCUACGGGAGGCAGCAGUAGGGAAUCUUCCGCAAUGGGCGAAAGCCUGACGGAGCAACGCCGCGUGAGUGAUGAAGGUCUUCGGAUCGUAAAACUCUGUUAUUAGGGAAGAACAAAUGUGUAAGUAACUAUGCACGUCUUGACGGUACCUAAUCAGAAAGCCACGGCUAACUACGUG